RNAcentral lists this ribosomal RNA (700 nucleotides) under uncultured Alphaproteobacteria bacterium. RNAcentral's name for it is "bacterial SSU rRNA". It matches the Rfam family "Bacterial small subunit ribosomal RNA", at positions 90 to 825 of the family's 1533-position model. Lineage: Bacteria; Pseudomonadati; Pseudomonadota; Alphaproteobacteria. The record is from RNAcentral.
ACCGAGCGGCGGACGGGUUAGUAACGCGUGGGAACGUACCCAGAUCUAAGGAAUAGCCUCGGGAAACUGAGAGUAAUACCUUAUACGCCCUUCGGGGGAAAGAUUUAUCGGAUUUGGAUCGGCCCGCGUUAGAUUGGAUAGUUGGUGGGGUAAUGGCCUACCAAGUCUACGAUCUAUAGCUGGUUUUAGAGGAUGAUCAGCAACACUGGGACUGAGACACGGCCCAGACUCCUACGGGAGGCAGCAGUGGGGAAUCUUAGACAAUGGGCGCAAGCCUGAUCUAGCCAUGCCGCGUGUGUGAUGAAGGCCUUAGGGUCGUAAAGCACUUUCGCCAGAGAUGAUAAUGACAGUAUCUGGUAAAGAAACCCCGGCUAACUCCGUGCCAGCAGCCGCGGUAAUACGGAGGGGGUUAGCGUUGUUCGGAAUUACUGGGCGUAAAGCGUACGUAGGCGGAUUAGUCAGUCAGAGGUGAAAUCCCAGGGCUCAACCCUGGAACUGCCUUUGAUACUGCUAGUCUUGAGUUCGAGAGAGGUGAGUGGAAUUCCAAGUGUAGAGGUGAAAUUCGUAGAUAUUUGGAGGAACACCAGUGGCGAAGGCGGCUCACUGGCUCGAUACUGACGCUGAGGUACGAAAGUGUGGGGAGCAAACAGGAUUAGAUACCCUGGUAGUCCACACCGUAAACGAUGAAUGCCAGUCGUCG